Molecule: ribosomal RNA, 462 nt
Filed under: uncultured bacterium
Lineage: Bacteria
Description: SSU rRNA
Rfam family: Bacterial small subunit ribosomal RNA
Source: RNAcentral
AGAACGAACGCUGGCGGCAUGCCUAACACAUGCAAGUCGAACGCUCACCGGGCUUCGGUUCGGUGGGAGUGGCGCACGGGUGAGUAGCGCGUGGGAACCUGCCCUGUUGUGGGGGAUAACCGAGGGAAACUUCGGCUAAUACCGCAUGCGCCCGGGGAAACCCGGGGAAAGAUUUAUCGCAGCAGGAGGGGCCCGCGUCGGAUUAGGUAGUUGGUAGGGUAACGGCCUACCAAGCCUUUGAUCCGUAGCUGGUCUGAGAGGAUGAUCAGCCACACUGGGACUGAGACACGGCCCAGACUCCUACGGGAGGCAGCAGUGGGGAAUAUUGGACAAUGGGCGCAAGCCUGAUCCAGCAAUGCCGCGUGAGUGAUGAAGGCCUUAGGGUUGUAAAGCUCUUUCGCCCGCGACGAUGAUGACGGUAGCGGGAGAAGAAGCCCCGGCUAACUUCGCGCCAGCAGCCGC